RNAcentral lists this ribosomal RNA (1569 nucleotides) under Mystacina tuberculata (New Zealand lesser short-tailed bat). Its description in RNAcentral is "16S ribosomal RNA". It matches the Rfam family "Bacterial large subunit ribosomal RNA". The record is from RNAcentral. Lineage: Eukaryota; Metazoa; Chordata; Mammalia; Chiroptera; Mystacinidae.
ACCAUAAUUAGCCCACAACACCCAUAAAAUAUAACAACAACUCUUAAGUUAAACAAAACAUUUAUUACUCGUAAAAGUAUAGGAGAUAGAAAUUUCAAAUGGCGCUAUAGAGAAAGUACCGCAAGGGAACAAUGAAAGAAAACCUUAAAAGUAUUAAAAAGCAAAGAUUACCCCUUGUACCUUUUGCAUAAUGAGUUAACUAGACUAACUUAGCAAAGAGGACUUAAGUUAAAACACCCGAAACCAGACGAGCUACUUAUGAACAGCUUCCCCAGAGCAAACUCAUCUAUGUGGCAAAAUAGUGAGAAGAUUUGUAAGUAGAGGUGACAAGCCUACCGAGCCUGGUGAUAGCUGGUUACCCAGAAAAGAAUUUUAGUUCAACCUUAAAUUUACCUAAAAAUCACCAAAUUAUAAUGUAAGUUUAAGACAUAAUCCAAAAGGGUACAGCCUUUUGGAUACAGGAUACAACCUUUAUUAGAGAGUAAGAAUUAUAAUUAUCAUAGUUGGCCUAAAAGCAGCCAUCAAUUAAGAAAGCGUUCAAGCUCAACAAAACACGAACCUUAAUAUCAAUAAUGAUAGCCAACUCCUAAUAAAAAUACUGGGUCACUCUAUUAGUAUAUAGAAGAGAUACUGUUAAUAUGAGUAACAAGAACAAUGUUCUCCUUGCACAAGUGUAUAUCAGAACGAAUAUCUCACUGAUAGUUAACAUUAAUAACACUAAUCAUAUAAUAAAUUACUUAUCUAACAACUUGUUGACCCAACACAGGAGUGCACCUUAAAGGAAAGAUUAAAAAGAGUAAAAGGAACUCGGCAAACACAAACCCCGCCUGUUUACCAAAAACAUCACCUCUAGCGUUACUAGUAUUAGAGGCACUGCCUGCCCAGUGACAUCCGUUUAACGGCCGCGGUAUCCUGACCGUGCAAAGGUAGCAUAAUCACUUGUUCUCUAAAUAAGGACUUGUAUGAAUGGCCACACGAGGGUUUUACUGUCUCUUACUCUCAAUCAGUGAAAUUGACCUUCCCGUGAAGAGGCGGGAAUAAACAAAUAAGACGAGAAGACCCUAUGGAGCUUUAAUUAAUUAAUCUAAGAAAAACUACUACUAAUCAAAAGACUUAAAACAAUUUCCCAAUAGAUUAGCAAUUUAGGUUGGGGUGACCUCGGAGUAUAAAACAACCUCCGAGUGAUUUAAAAGCUAGACCUACUAGUCAAACUAACAACUCAUGAAUUGAUCCAAUUCUUUUUGAUCAACGGAACAAGUUACCCUAGGGAUAACAGCGCAAUCCUAUUUAAGAGUCCCUAUCGACAAUAGGGUUUACGACCUCGAUGUUGGAUCAGGACAUCCUAAUGGUGCAGCAGCUAUUGAUGGUUCGUUUGUUCAACGAUUAAAGUCCUACGUGAUCUGAGUUCAGACCGGAGUAAUCCAGGUCGGUUUCUAUCUAUUUUACGCCUCUCCCAGUACGAAAGGACAAGAGAGACGGGGCCAACUUCAAAAAGCGCCCUCAAGACCAACAGAUGAUAUAAUCUCAAUCUAGUAAACUUUGACACCAGUUCACCCUAGACCAGGGUUU